Non-coding RNA from Aedes albopictus (Asian tiger mosquito), 118 nucleotides. The record is from Rfam. Lineage: Eukaryota; Metazoa; Arthropoda; Insecta; Diptera; Culicidae.
UGCCCAGCAACUCCUAUCCCUACCUCCACGGGGUACCGACCGGAAACUAUGAGCAACCUUAGGGAAGAUCGGAUCCCCAACCCCGGUGGGAACUUUGGUCAUAGACUGACCGGGAAGA